RNAcentral lists this small nuclear RNA (19 nucleotides) under Arabidopsis thaliana (thale cress). RNAcentral describes it as "snRNA_09617". Lineage: Eukaryota; Viridiplantae; Streptophyta; Magnoliopsida; Brassicales; Brassicaceae. The record is from RNAcentral.
GAAUUCACCAAGUGUUGGA